RNAcentral lists this ribosomal RNA (496 nucleotides) under uncultured bacterium. RNAcentral describes it as "partial 16S ribosomal RNA". It matches the Rfam family "Bacterial small subunit ribosomal RNA", at positions 29 to 507 of the family's 1533-position model. The record is from RNAcentral.
AUGAACGCUGGCGGCGUGCCUAAUACAUGCAAGUCGAGCGAACAGACGAGGAGCUUGCUCCUCUGACGUUAGCGGCGGACGGGUGAGUAACACGUGGAUAACCUACCUAUAAGACUGGGAUAACUUCGGGAAACCGGAGCUAAUACCGGAUAAUAUAUUGAACCGCAUGGUUCAAUAGUGAAAGACGGUUUUGCUGUCACUUAUAGAUGGAUCCGCGCCGCAUUAGCUAGUUGGUAAGGUAACGGCUUACCAAGGCAACGAUGCGUAGCCGACCUGAGAGGGUGAUCGGCCACACUGGAACUGAGACACGGUCCAGACUCCUGCGGGAGGCAGCAGUAGGGAAUCUUCCGCAAUGGGCGAAAGCCUGACGGAGCAACGCCGCGUGAGUGAUGAAGGUCCUCGGAUCGUAAAACUCUGUUAUUAGGGAAGAACAAAUGUGUAAGUAACUAUGCACGUCUUGACGGUACCUAAUCAGAAAGCCACGGCUAACUACGUG